This 395-nucleotide ribosomal RNA is filed under the name uncultured bacterium. Its description in RNAcentral is "partial 16S ribosomal RNA". It matches the Rfam family "Bacterial small subunit ribosomal RNA", at positions 338 to 730 of the family's 1533-position model. The record is from RNAcentral.
CCUACGGGAGGCAGCAGUGGGGAAUAUUGGUCAAUGGACGAAAGCCUGACCCAGCCAAGCCGCGUGAAGGAUGAAGGUCCUCUGAGUUGUAAACUUCUUUUGUAAGGGAGUACAACCAGGCUCGUGUGCCUUAUUGCAUGUACUUUAUGAAUAAGGAUCGGCUAACUCCGGGCCAGCAGCCGCGGUAAUACGGAGGGUGCGAGCGUUAUCCGGAUUUAUUGGGUUUAACGGGAACGUAGAGGGGAUGUUAAGUCAGUUGUGAAAGGUCGUGGCUCAACCGACAAAGUGCAUUUGAUACUGGCAGUCUUGAGUGUAUGUGAGGUAGGCGGAAUUCGAGGUGUAGCGGUGAAAUGCUUAGAUAUCACGAAGAACCCCGAUUGCGAAGGCAGCUUACU